RNAcentral lists this ribosomal RNA (497 nucleotides) under uncultured bacterium. Its description in RNAcentral is "partial 16S ribosomal RNA". It matches the Rfam family "Bacterial small subunit ribosomal RNA", at positions 28 to 507 of the family's 1533-position model. The record is from RNAcentral.
GAUGAACGCUGGCGGCGUGCCUAAUACAUGCAAGUCGAGCGAACAGAUGAGGAGCUUGCUCCUCUGACGUUAGCGGCGGACGGGUGAGUAACACGUGGAUAACCUACCUAUAAGACGGGGAUAACUUCGGGAAACCGGAGCUAAUACCGGAGAAUAUAUUGAACCGCAUGGUGCAAUAGUGAAAGACGGUUUUGCUGUCACUUAUAGAUGGAUCCGCGCCGCAUUAGCUAGUUGGUAAGGUAACGGCUUACCAAGGCAACGAUGCGUAGCCGACCUGAGAGGGUGAUCGGCCACACUGGAACUGAGACACGGUCCAGACUCCUACGGGAGGCAGCAGUAGGGAAUCUUCCGCAAUGGGCGAAAGCCUGACGGAGCCACGCCGCGUGAGUGAUGAAGGUCUUCGGAUCGUAAAACUCUUUUAUUAGGGAAGAACAACUGUGUAAUUAACCAUGCACGUCUUGACGGUACCUAAUCAGAAAGCCCCGGCUAACUACGUG